AUACGUAGGUGGCAAGCGUUGUCCGGAAUUAUUGGGCGUAAAGCGCGCGCAGGCGGUCCUUUAAGUCUGAUGUGAAAGCCCACGGCUCAACCGUGGAGGGUCAUUGGAAACUGGGGGACUUGAGUGCAGAAGAGGAAAGUGGAAUUCCAAGUGUAGCGGUGAAAUGCGUAGAGAUUUGGAGGAACACCAGUGGCGAAGGCGACUUUCUGGUCUGUAACUGACGCUGAGGCGCGAAAGCGUGGGGAGCAAACAGAAUUAGAUACCCUGGUAGUCCACGCCGUAAACGAUGAGUGCUAAGUGUUAGGGGGUUUCCGCCCCUUAGUGCUGCAGCUAACGCAUUAAGCACUCCGCCUGGGGAGUACGGUCGCAAGACUGAAACUCAAAUGAAUUGGCGGGG
This 397-nucleotide ribosomal RNA is filed under the name uncultured bacterium. Its description in RNAcentral is "partial 16S ribosomal RNA". It matches the Rfam family "Bacterial small subunit ribosomal RNA", at positions 523 to 918 of the family's 1533-position model. The record is from RNAcentral.